RNAcentral lists this transfer RNA (84 nucleotides) under Candidatus Fimicola merdigallinarum. Its description in RNAcentral is "tRNA-Leu". It matches the Rfam family "tRNA". Rfam says of the family: Transfer RNA (tRNA) molecules are approximately 80 nucleotides in length. Their secondary structure includes four short double-helical elements and three loops (D, anti-codon, and T loops). Further hydrogen bonds mediate the characteristic L-shaped molecular structure. tRNAs have two regions of fundamental functional importance: the anti-codon, which is responsible for specific mRNA codon recognition, and the 3' end, to which the tRNAs corresponding amino acid is attached (by aminoacyl-tRNA synthetases). tRNAs cope with the degeneracy of the genetic code in two manners: having more than one tRNA (with a specific anti-codon) for a particular amino acid; and 'wobble' base-pairing, i.e. permitting non-standard base-pairing at the 3rd anti-codon position. The record is from RNAcentral. Lineage: Bacteria; Bacillati; Bacillota; Clostridia; Lachnospirales; Lachnospiraceae.
GUGGAUAUGGUGGAAUUGGCAGACACGCAAGAUUCAGAUUCUUGUCACCUUUCGGUGGUGCAGGUUCAAGUCCUGUUAUCCACA